Long non-coding RNA from Hyaena hyaena (striped hyena), 273 nucleotides. RefSeq lists it as uncharacterized. The transcript has 3 exons. The record is from RefSeq and is a predicted model, not a curated record. Lineage: Eukaryota; Metazoa; Chordata; Mammalia; Carnivora; Hyaenidae.
UCCCAACUUGCUCUGGAACUAAAAGGUGAAAUGAUGUCAAAAAAGAGAUUCUAAAAACCAAAAAAUAAAACAUUAAGUCCUGCGUGUGGCAUUCAUUGCUUUCCAAGAUCAGACCGCAUAACCUCUGACCACUCCCUGCAGCUGCCCUCUCCCGUUUCCCCACUUUCCCAAAUGCUGGCCUCGAACUUCAUGUUCUGCACACCUGCUGAUUACUGAGUAGCUGAAACUAACAAGAAGGCAUGUGCUAGUAAGAUAUUCUUCCUAUAAGUAAAG